RNAcentral lists this ribosomal RNA (171 nucleotides) under uncultured bacterium. Its description in RNAcentral is "partial 16S ribosomal RNA". It matches the Rfam family "Bacterial small subunit ribosomal RNA", at positions 344 to 509 of the family's 1533-position model. The record is from RNAcentral.
GGAGGCAGCAGUGGGGAAUAUUGGACAAUGGGGGCAACCCUGAUCCAGCCAAGCCGCGUGUGUGAAGAAGCCUUCGGGUUACAAAGCACUUUCAGUUGGGAGGAAUGGUUAGUCGUUAAUCCCGGCUAGCUGUGACGUUACCAACAGAAGAAGCGCGGCUAACCCCGUGCC